CCUACGGGAGGCAGCAGUGGGGAAUAUUGCACAAUGGGGGAAACUCUGAUGCAGCAACGCCGCGUGAAUGAAGAAGUAUUUCGGUAUGUAAAGCUCUAUCAGGAGGGAAGAGAAUGACAGUACCUGCCUUAGAAGACCCGGCUAACUACGUGCCAGCAGCCGCGGUAAUACGUAGGGGGCAAGCGUUAUCCGGAUUUACUGGGUGUAAAGGGAGCGUAGACGGCGGGACAAGUCUGAAGUGAAAGCCCGUGGCUCAACCGCGGAACUGCGUUGGAAACUGUAAAGCUGGAGUGCUGGAGAGGCAGGCGGAAUUCCUAGUGUAGCGGUGAAAUGCGUAGAUAUUAGGAGGAACACCAGUGGCGAAGGCGGACUGCUGGACAGAAACUGACGGUGAGGCGCGAAAGCGUGGGGAGCAAACAGGAUUAGAUACCCGGGUAGUC
This 440-nucleotide ribosomal RNA is filed under the name uncultured bacterium. RNAcentral describes it as "partial 16S ribosomal RNA". It matches the Rfam family "Bacterial small subunit ribosomal RNA", at positions 338 to 795 of the family's 1533-position model. The record is from RNAcentral.